This 95-nucleotide signal recognition particle RNA is filed under the name Sphingomonadaceae bacterium. RNAcentral describes it as "signal recognition particle sRNA small type". It matches the Rfam family "Bacterial small signal recognition particle RNA". From Rfam's summary of the family: The signal recognition particle (SRP) is a universally conserved ribonucleoprotein involved in the co-translational targeting of proteins to membranes. Archaeal SRP consists of a 7S RNA and homologues of the eukaryotic SRP19 and SRP54 proteins. The record is from RNAcentral. Lineage: Bacteria; Pseudomonadati; Pseudomonadota; Alphaproteobacteria; Sphingomonadales; Sphingomonadaceae.
CACGGAGUCGGGCGGACGUUUGCGUUUGUUCACUGGGUCAGGUCCGGAAGGAAGCAGCCCAAGCAUGUUGCGACGGGUCGCUCGGCUCUUUUCCA